Zalophus californianus (California sea lion) is the source of this 109-nucleotide small nuclear RNA. NCBI's taxonomy places the organism in Eukaryota, Metazoa, Chordata, Mammalia, Carnivora, Otariidae. The record is from Ensembl.
GAGCUCUCAGUUCAGCAGCACUUAUACUAAAAGUGGAAUGUUACAGAGAAGACUAGCACGGCCCCUGCAUGAUGGUGACACACAAAUCUGAGAAGGGUUUCACAUUUUU